RNAcentral lists this ribosomal RNA (497 nucleotides) under uncultured bacterium. RNAcentral describes it as "partial 16S ribosomal RNA". It matches the Rfam family "Bacterial small subunit ribosomal RNA", at positions 28 to 507 of the family's 1533-position model. The record is from RNAcentral.
GAUGAACGCUGGCGGCGUGCCUAAUACAUGCAAGUCGAGCGAACGGACGAGAAGCUUGCUUCUCUGAUGUUAGCGGCGGACGGGUGAGUAACACGUGGAUAACCUACAUAUAAGACUGGGAUAACUUCGGGAAACCGGAGCUAAUACCGGAUAAUAGUUUGAACCGAAUGGUUCAAAAGUGAAAGACGGUCUUGCUGUCACUUAUAGAUGGAUCCGCGCUGCAUUAGCUAGUUGGUAAGGUAACGGCUUACCAAGGCAACGAUGCAUAGCCGACCUGAGAGGGUGAUCGGCCACACUGGAACUGAGACACGGUCCAGACUCCUACGGGAGGCAGCAGUAGGGAAUCUUCCGCAAUGGGCGAAAGCCUGACGGAGCAACGCCGCGUGAGUGAUGAAGGUCUUCGGAUCGUAAAACUCUGUUAUUAGGGAAGAACAUAUGUGUAAGUAACUGUGCACGUCUUGACGGUACCUAAUCAGAAAGCCACGGCUAACUACGUG